GGAAGGAUCAUUACAAAUCCAUCCACGUCUCAUACCCUGAGACCACGUUGAAAUGUUCCCCAGAGCCUCUGCCCUCUGGGCCAGCUUCGGCCGGCCCCUUGGAUCAGCAUGCUCUGGGCUGUUAAACUAGUCAUCUCUGUUGCUCAAAUGUAUCUUGAUUUCAAUCAAACGAAAACUUGUACAACUUAUAACAAUGGAUCUCUAGGCUCUUGCAUCGAUGAAGAACGCAGCCAGACGCGAAAUGUGUUAUGACUUGCAAUCUUCGCGAAUCAUUUAAUCUUUGAACGCAACUUGCACCCUCGGGCUUGACCCUUGGGUAUACUUGUUUGAGUAUCGUCUAUGCGCUCACACCUCCCUUCGCCCUCACGGGUGAUGGGUCGAGUGGAUUUGAUGCGUAGGAGCCCCUCCAGGCCCCUUGCCUCUAAAUGCAUGAUCUUGCUCCAGGAGACAGGUCUUGCCCUUUGCCGCAAGGCAUCGGGAACCAACUUGGGAUAACGUCCAUCAAGUUUGGUUAUCUGUCCCCUUGGACCCGGCAGUCAGCAAUGGCUGUGCAGAUCAAAUGAACGUGCCACGGGCUAGCAAUGGCUCUGUGGGACAACCCUUUGACGUACCGAUCUCAAAUCAAGUAAGGUUACCCGCUGAACUUAAGCAUAUCAGUAAGCGGAGGAAGAGAAACUAACAAGGAUUCCCUCAGUAACGGCGAGUGAACCGGGAAUAGCUCAAAUUUGGAAUCUGGCAUCCGUGAGGGUGUCCGAAUUGUCAUUAAAAGGGUUCGUUUGUGCCAACCGGAAGAGUCCAAGUCCCUUGGAACAGGGCGCCAGAGAGGGUGAAAGCCCCGUACUGGCUCUUCGACACGGGCGGCAGUACCAAGCGGGCCCAACGAGUCGGAUAGUUUGGGAAUGCUGUCCUAAAUGGGUGAUACAUGUCAUCUAAAGCUAAAUAUCAGCAAGAGACCGAUAGCAAACAAGUACCGUGAGGGAAAGAUGAAAAGAACUUUGAAAAGAGAGUUAAAAGUACGUGAAAUUGUUAUAAGGGAAACGAUUCAUUCUGCGCCAGGACAGGGCCUUCCAGGGCAAGCCUUCACGGGCAUGCUCGUACCAGGCCCUGACCCGGUUGAUCCGCUUGAGGCGGCCCGCAAACGCCUCCUGGGAAGGUGGCUCUCCCGCAAGGGAGACGCUUUAUAGACCAGGAAGUGCUGCGGGCCUUUGCCACAAGUGUCGACGCUUGUCGAGGCAGGCAGGUCCGGCCCGGGGUGCCUUCAUGGUGCUCCGCCGCUUGGCCCGUCCCGUCAUCAACGUUGUGGAGUGAAACGACCCGUCUUGAAACACGGACCAAGGAGUGCAACUCUGAUGCGAGUCAUUGAGUGGCAAACUCAAAGGCGCAACGAAAGUAAUUGUGUGGGAUGCAGGGUCCAUUCGUGGGCUCGGCUGCACCACCACCCGGUUCUGACCGUUGGUCUCGAUCGAGGUAGAGCAUCAUGGCUGCGACCCGAAAGAUGGUGAACUAUGCCUGACUAGGGUGAAGCCAGAGGAAACUCUGGUGGAGGCUCGUAGACAUUCUGACGUGCAAAUCGAUGUUCAAAGUUGGGUAUAGGGGCGAAAGACUAAUCGAACCAUCUAGUAGACAUUGGGAACCAUUAUAAACCAACUGCUAGAGAUAGUGGGGCAAUGGCCUAAACAACCAUUGUUAUGCCCGCUAGUCGAGCAGCCGCAACUGUGACAGGUUGGCUGCCGGCAAGGUGACCUGGUACGAGGAAGGCCCCACAAAGGCCCUUAAAGCAUGUACUUUAUUCUUAAUUGAACAGAGUGGUUAGUGCUUCUAGGGCUGGGGUUAAUCUCGUGGCGAAUUUCUCAAGGGUGACUUUGAUGAGAUCGUCGUAACGCGCGGUAAGGCACCGGCUGACUCUCCUAAUCAAUUUGGCUUCUCACUCCAUGUGGGUGGAGGCGUAUAUUGGAGAGUUGGCUCAAGGAACGUGCUACUCCCAGACGAUCAAAAGUCUGCUUUGUACUGGAACACCUGUCAUGUAAAGGUACAAAGAAGGUAAUCAAUGGGCGGGGAGGAAAUGCCUCGUCCCAAGUAAAGCAACGUCUUUACUGCCUUGGUGUCAAGGAGCUGGUUCCCUC
This 2123-nucleotide unclassified non-coding RNA is filed under the name uncultured fungus. Its description in RNAcentral is "sequence contains 18S rRNA gene, ITS1, 5.8S rRNA gene, ITS2, 28S rRNA gene". The stretch from base 612 to 2123 matches the Rfam family "Eukaryotic large subunit ribosomal RNA", at positions 1 to 1888 of the family's 3401-position model. The record is from RNAcentral. Lineage: Eukaryota; Fungi.